AUUGCCCUAGUACGGCGAGUGAAGCGGCAACAGCUCAAAUUUGAAAUCUGGCUUCGGCCCGAGUUGUAAUUUGCAGAGGAAGCUUUAGGCGCGGCACCUUCUGAGUCCCCUGGAACGGGGCGCCAUAGAGGGUGAGAGCCCCGUAUAGUUGGAUGCCUAGCCUGUGUAAAGCUCCUUCGACGAGUCGAGUAGUUUGGGAAUGCUGCUCAAAAUGGGAGGUAAAUUUCUUCUAAAGCUAAAUACCGGCCAGAGACCGAUAGCGCACAAGUAGAGUGAUCGAAAGAUGAAAAGCACUUUGAAAAGAGGGUUAAAUAGCACGUGAAAUUGUUGAAAGGGAAGCGCUUGUGACCAGACUUGCGCCGGGCAGAUCAUCCGGUGUUCUCACCGGUGCACUCUGCCCGGCUCAGGCCAGCAUCGGUUCUCGCGGGGGGAUAAAGGCCCUGGGAACGUAGCUCCUCCGGGAGUGUUAUAGCCCGGGGCGUAAUGCCUUCGCGGGGACCGAGGUUCGCGCAUCUGCAAGGAUGCUGGCGUAAUGGUCAUCAGCGACCCGUCUUGAAACACGGACCAAGGAGUCAAGGUUUUGCGCGAGUGUUUGGGUGUAAAACCCGCACGCGUAAUGAAAGUGAACGUAGGUGAGAGCUUCGGCGCAUCAUCGACCGAUCCUGAUGUUUUCGGAUGGAUUUGAGUAGGAGCGUUAAGCCUUGGACCCGAAAGAUGGUGAACUAUGCUUGGAUAGGGUGAAGCCAGAGGAAACUCUGGUGGAGGCUCGCAGCGGUUCUGACGUGCAAAUCGAUCGUCAAAUCUGAGCAUGGGGGCGAAAGAC
Molecule: ribosomal RNA, 823 nt
Filed under: Chaetomium olivaceum
Lineage: Eukaryota; Fungi; Ascomycota; Sordariomycetes; Sordariales; Chaetomiaceae
Description: eukaryotic LSU rRNA
Rfam family: Eukaryotic large subunit ribosomal RNA
Source: RNAcentral